GCGUGGGCCAAUGGGAGAGCUGGAUGUUAGCGUGUGGGAGGCGCGGCUGGGUUGCUACAGCCAGAGCUGGGCGGCGGCGGGCGCUGCCGGAGGAGCCCGAGGCGGUGCGCCAUGGAGGGGCUGGAAGAAAAUGGAGGUGUUGUCCAGGUUGGAGAACUGUUGCCUUGCAAGAUUUGUGGAAGAACAUUCUUUCCAUUGGCACUGAAAAAGCAUGGACCCAUUUGCCAGAAAACUGCCACUAAAAAAAGGAAGACUUUUGAUUCCAGCAGGCAGAGAGCUGAAGGCACUGAUAUUCCCACAGUCAAACCUCUUAAACCCAGGCCAGAACCACCAAAGAAGCCAUCUAAUUGGAGAAGAAAGCAUGAAGAAUUCAUUGCUACCAUAAGAGCAGCAAAAGGCCUUGAUCAGGCACUUAAAGAGGGGGGCAAACUUCCCCCUCCUCCUCCACCUUCUUAUGACCCUGAUUACAUUCAGUGUCCAUAUUGCCAGAGGAGGUUCAACGAAAAUGCAGCGGAUAGACAUAUCAAUUUCUGUAAAGAACAGGCAGCACGCAUUAGUAAUAAGGGCAAAUUUUCUGCUGAUCCCAAAGGAAAGCCAGCUUCUCGGCCACAGUAUAAGCCAUCUCCACUUAAAAAAUCAAAUUCUCCUGGGACUACAUCAUCAGGAUCUUCCCGACUACCACAACCAAGUACUACUAACAAAACUGUUGUAGGUGUGCCUUCGGGUAAAGCAUCUUCAGUUAACAGUUCUCUGGGAAACAAACUUCAGACCUUAUCUCCUUCUCAUAAAGCAAUAGCAGCCCCCCAGGCAGGAGCUAACAUCAAACCUCGAAAUACUACACCUCCUAGCUUGGCAAGAAAUUCUGGGGCUGGUGUGCUUACCAACAAAAGAAAAACAUUUACUGAGAGCUAUGUAGCCAGUGAUUAUGAAACAAACUUUAAACAAUCAAUUCUUCUCUCAAAACUGUGUUCAUGCCAGCUGUCUGUACCAUUGAGGAUGAAGUCCAUAUGGGUUGGGGAAGAGGAAGAGCAAGAGGAUGUUGCCACCCCACAUGGAACGUCACUGGAGCAUGUGUGGAUUGCAUACAAACAUCCAGCCCACAGCUACAUGCUGAAGUGGCUGGGAAGAGCAAGAAGAAUGAUGUGACUCUUGUUGUCGUGAGCAUUAUCCAUCACUGUGAGCCCUCCAGCAUCUCUAUCAUGUAAGAUGACAGUUCCACUCUUCAGAUUGUUCACUGAUGCCCAGUGGACCAUAACAUCAUUUUGCUGAUGAAUUCUUAGGUUUUAUUUUUGUAGGUUUGAUAUCUUCUGAAAUAUUUGGAAAAGGUUUAGAAAGUAUUGCAGAUAACAUGAUUGCCUUACAACAUCAGUGCAGUCGAUAUAUGUCCAUAUGUAUAUUCUGACUGCAGCUAUCAGUUACAGAUUGUUUGUGUCCAUUUUCUAGUACCUCAUUGUGGAUUUCCCAGUGGCUCUGGUCAUUUGACCAGGAGGCAUCCAGCAACUUCUGAGGAGAUUUCAUUUCCUCAAAAUGUAUCAACCGGUAGAUUUUUGGAGACUGCAAUUGCAUGUCCUAUGUUUAUAUACUGCCCUUCAAAAUUUUAUUCCAACAAGUUUUUAUCUCUCUCAGUAGUCUCUUUAGGAAACAUGGGUCAUUCUUUUUCUGUUCCUUUAAAUUCUUUUCUUCCUAGAAAAAUAAAUUCAUAAGAUUUAAUUUAAUUUAACUCUUUGAUAUAACAUGUCUCAAGACAUUUGCAUUUUAUUUUUCAUCAUAUUAGAUUAUACCUAAUAUUUAGUAUACCAGAAUGAAGACUCUUGCAUGCCAUCUUAAAACUAUGACCUAUGGUGAUAAUUAUGAUUUCUGACUGACAGGAAAGUCCAGGCUACUUAAGCUUAGUGUAUCAUCUGCCAUUUUCACCCUGCAUCAGUGGACUCCUAUAAAUGAUACAUAUUUUACAUCAUUUAAUUGAACUUCUUUUAUGAAAAAAAUUAAUUUUAGUGAAAAGAUUUAACACUGAAAAUAUUUAGAUUAAUAAUAAUUUGUCUGAUUCAACUGAUAUCUUAGAGUCUGCUACAAAAACUUAGUGUUUACUGAAGUAUUGCUGCCAUCUGCCUUCUAAGUUGAUCUUGUCACCUCAUUAAGAACUUUGAAAGGCUACUGGUACAGUGUUGAGAAAAUGGAGAGAGAUGCCUGCAUACAGCAGAUACUGGAGAGCAACAGUCAUAUUUCCUCUGAGCCGUGUGACAUGGUAGGAUGAUUCCUCAUUUAAUGAAGAACCAGUUAUUGAAUAUUUUCUGGGCCAGAUAUUACUCUAAGUAUACCACAUACUUUAUUCUGUUUACUUGGUAACCCCAUGACCUUGAUGAUUUCACCUCUGUCCAAAAAUGAGGAUAUUAAGUCACAAAGAGGUAAGAGCCAGUGUGACAUGGAUACAUCUUGAGCUCAUUUUUUAAAUUUAGUCACAAAUUCAUAUCUCUGUUAGUUAUAUACUUAAGUAACAGCAGCAUGUGGCUUUUAAGUAACUUCAGAGAGUGUAUAAGAGAUUUUGAAGAUAGAUAUGGGGAAACUUUUCAUUAAUCUUUUCAGCGGGGACACCAGAGCAUUUUUAAAGAACCAAUGGAAGUUCCCUUGACUACUGUAUUUGAAUAAGAGAAAGGCAAUUGGUACUUCCAUGGCCUUAGUGUAAGUACAUUUCCAUAGGUUCUACAUCCUUGGGUUUAAUCAACUGAAAUUGGAAUAUACUUGAAGAAUAUGGGUAGACUGCACUGAACAUGUGUGGACUCUUGUUCUUGUCAUUGUUCCUCAAACUACACAUCAUAAAAUCUAAAUACUUAUCAUUUCCAUUGCUCUGGGCACUUUAAGAGGCCUAUAUGCAAUUUAGAGUAUAUAGGAGGACAUGUAUAGGUUAUAUACAGAAACCCCAUCCUUUUCUGUAAGGAAUGUGAGCAUUGACAGAACUUUGUAUGUGAGGAGAUGGCCUGACUAUUCACCUUGAAUAGUGAUGUACAACAAUACACGACAUGGAAAAAGUAGGCAGAAAAAACAUUGCUUUUACCUCUCAGAUUCUGGAGAUUAAAGUAUUCUAAACUUUUCAAAUUCUUAGUCACAUGUUCUUAGCAUUUUUAUUUUGUGUCCAGCUAACAUAUUUGUAUACUUUGAGUUGGGAUGUCUAGAGUAUGCAAACCCACCUACUGCCUAACAAAGAACGUUUAUGCUUCCAUGUAUGUGUUGAUUAAACAUCAGUAAUGGAAAGAAUCCAUCAUCCAGAAGUCAGCAUACUCAUUGUUCAAUGUCCCAGACUGCUUGGUUUUUAAAGCAGAUUCAAAUGGGCUUUCUGACUUUGAACCCGUGCAAGACCGGCUUUCUAAAAGCUGAGGCUUCCUUGUAGAGUGAGGUACUACAUCUCUACUUGACGUGGUUAGCAGCACUUACAGUGAUACCACAAUAGAGGUGACCACCAGGGAAUGAUUGCAGCCUACACAGGAAUGAGCAUGUUUGGUUCACAGUCAGCAUGCUUUGGGUUCACAACCCAUGCUUACCUUGCUUGUGCAGUUCACCAGUGUUUGUGUGCCUUGGGAAACUGUUAGUAAGUGGAUAUUGAACUCUUCACUGAUAUUCAUUUUCAGAAAUUGCUUCAAUUUACGAGCAGCACGAUUUAGAAAAGCAGCUUCCUAAGAAAAGAAUCCAAAAGGGCUGUGGUGAGAAAUUUUAGUUUCUCAAUUAAUAUAAAGCUAGAGCCCUGUCUCUGAGUAAAACUCCACCUCCACCCCAGCUUUCACUUCUGGUUAAUCAUGUGACUGACGAGUAACAGAAUGAAACUGCUUGGCUCUGAGAAGACAGAGAACAUGAAGUGCCUAGACUCUGGUUUAAUGAUUAUCUGGCUUUGAAAUAGCCGUUUCUCCAGUAUGUACAUGUGGCUUUAUCAUUUAUGGGUGAAUGCGUUACAAGACAAUAUACUUUUCACAGGGUAACCAAAGAAGAAGGCUGCUGCAAACAUUAGUGAGGAAAGUGUGAAGCCAUGCAAAGGCCAAUGUGGGCAACCAGGAAAGGCUCUUACCAUGCUGUUACCAUUGUCUCCUUCCUAUUGUAUGUAAACCACCCAAUCUUGUUACUUUGAUAUGGCCACAAGAAAGGACAGCCACUCCUGCAUGUUUUAUCUUACAGCAAAAUGGAAAGAAAGUGCACCAGAAUAGCUUCCCAUACCAUCACUCCUGUGCUCCCAUCUAAUGGUUUGUUUUCUGUUAUAACGUGUCAUGAGGUGUGGUGAACCGACUCCAGUGAUGAGAUACAUGGUCUGUGGCCUGUAAGUUCACUCCCAAAUGAGAAUGUUCUUAAAGUCCUUCUGCCCAUCGUGCUAUUUAUGGAGUGGAAAUUGCUUCCUCCUUGGAAACUAGUUGUGUUCCAAAAGAGCUGAGGUUUAGAGAAUUCAAAUAAAUACUGCCAGUCUUUA
Peromyscus maniculatus bairdii (prairie deer mouse) is the source of this 4447-nucleotide non-coding RNA. The record is from RefSeq and is a predicted model, not a curated record. NCBI's taxonomy places the organism in Eukaryota, Metazoa, Chordata, Mammalia, Rodentia, Cricetidae.